UCUGAAAUUAAAAAGAACAAUGAGAAAACAUUAUGAAUGCUGAUGGACAUUUUUUCUAUCAGGAGACAUGAGGUUGUCAAGGAAUCGCCUUCAAUAGCAGAUUUCAAAACUAGAUGGCCUGCUCUUUUCAGAAGGGAAGAGAUUUGUGCAGAGUUUAAAAGAAUCGCAACAGCCCCAUUGGUGUCUACAUACUUGGCGAAGAUGGAUCAAUAUUCUGCAAAGCUUAUAAGGAUCUAUGCAAAACGAGGAGUCAUCAAUUGACCGAGAAUUAAAAACCUGCUGGUUUCCACAACACGGACUGACAACAUUGAUCAGGCUCCGAUCUUUCUUUGUCUACCUGAAUGAAGACCUGACCAGUCUAAUUAAAGAGUAUUUGGAUACAGAUGCACCCAGUACCCAGGAGGCGUUCCAGAAGAUGGUGAUGUGAGUCCUUGUUGCAAAAAUGUAUGGUUCAGACAUCGAAGACAGCCCAGCAGAUGUUGGAGUGUUAUUGAAGGGAUUAAGAGUUCUUGGACCUCAACAACAUUGUGUAUGCGACAACCAUGCUGAUGGGACUGAUAUAUGCACUGAACUUGAGCUACUUUCCUGAAUUCAGGUACACUUUUGAAGUAUUGCAGUUGUUGUUUCUGGAGCUAGAUGGGAAGUAACUAUCUCAUAAAGUUCAGACGCUGAAGACCAAGCCUUUUGCAGAUGUUUUGAGAAAGGAAUGUUUUAAUAUUUCAUAUGUAAAUGCCAUGUUUUUGAAAUGGAGUUUUCGUGCAUUUCAUUUGUCAUUAACUGUAAAAAAAAUUGUAAUGUUGUUAUAAGGUUACAUUGUAAUAUCCAAAGUCCUUAAAAACUUUGCAAGCUUUUCAAGUUGAUGAGUGCAUCUCAUUUGUUGGUAUAUCCUUUACGGUAUCUGUAGUUUAAGUGCAAUAAACAUGGCUUGAAGAA
Molecule: non-coding RNA, 933 nt
Organism: Misgurnus anguillicaudatus (oriental weatherfish)
Lineage: Eukaryota; Metazoa; Chordata; Actinopteri; Cypriniformes; Cobitidae
Source: RefSeq, a predicted model, not a curated record